CGCUAGUAGAAAGCGUAGCGGGAAACUUCGAGCAGCGAACAAAGGGAACCCGUCUUGGCUCAAAACCCUUAAAUCAUCAACAACCAUGCCCGUGUCGAUGUCCAUCUCUCAAGGGAAUGAAGAAGAAGACCAAAGAUUUCAACCUUCACCUCCUGCUCAUCACCCUUCCGCCCCGCCGCACGAGUUAUUUGACAUUUCAACAACUGUUGAUCCAAGUUAUGUGAUAUCUAUGAUAAGAAGACUUAUACCUUCAAAUGUACAAUAUGGGGAUCAAGCUAUUGGAAGUGGUUUGAUUUGUGAAGAGCCGAAGGCAGAAGAAGUACCCGAAAAUGGAGGAGAAGCUGAAGCAAUGGAUUCCACUGAACGCUUAGGGGAACUAGAAGGCCCUGACCAGAAAAUUGAUGAUCAACAAGGUAGGUCAAAAGUAGAAGACACGUGGGAGGAGUGUGGUUGUGUCUUAUGGGAUCUUGCAGCAGGUGAAGACCAUGCUCAAUUUAUGAUUCAAAACCUUAUCCUCGAGGUGCUUUUGGCUAAUCUUGUGGUUUCUCAAUCCUCACGCAUUACUGAAAUUAGUCUUGGAAUAAUUGGUAACCUUGCUUGCCAUGAAGCCACUCGGAAACAAAUAGCCUCUACAAAUGGAUUGGUUAAGGUGAUUGUGGAGCAAUUGCUUCUAGAUGAUGUGCCAUGCCUAUGUGAAGCCUGUAGGGUGUUAACCUUGUGCCUCCAAGGUUGCGAAGGCGCAGUUUGGGCCGAAGCAUUGCAGACUGAGCAAAUGCUAUCUCGUAUCUUCUGGAUUUCAGAAAAUGCUUUAAAUCCACAGCUCAUUGAAAAGAUUGUUGGUUUACUCUUAGCAAUUAUAGAGAGUCCACAGGAAGUGGCAGCAACUCUUCUUCCACGUAUAAUGGAAUUGAAUCUUCCAAAUCUUUUGAUCAAACUCCUGGCCUUUGAAAUGAGCAAAUUAAAAGAAGAACAAUUGCCUGAGAGGUAUCCUGUGUUGGACUUGAUUCUUCGGGCAUUUGAGGCUAUAUCUACCAUGGAUAAGUAUUCAUCUGAAAUUUGUCUACAUAAAGAACUCAUGGAGCAACUAAAAGAACUGAUUGAACUUCCUGAUAAGUUGGAGGUUUCCACCUCGUGUGUAACAGCUGCAGUUUUGAUAGCAAAUAUGAUUACUGAGGCGACCGAUCUAGUGUCUGAAUUAUCAAUGGAUGUGGAUUUCUUGCAGGGCCUGUUUGACAUUUUCCCAUUUGCUUCUGAUGAUGUUGAAGCUCAAAGUGCAAUUUGGAGCGUUAUUGCAAGAAUAUUGACAGUUCAUGAAAGCCAGAUGAAUUCAUCAAACUUUAACAUUGUUGUGUCAAUACUUGCAAGCAAGUUGGAUCUAAUAGAAGAUGAACUCCUUGCUCAUACAUUGGGUCAUGAGGGGCAGAACACUGAAAAUGCUUCAGGCACUAAAGUUGAUGUUCGACUCAUUGCCGUAUCCUUAUAUGAUGAAAAAGAUAUCCGAUAUUCUGACCCGAUGGAAAUUCUCUGAUGAUGGAGAAAAGAACACUUCUUCCAUCAAUGAUUGUUCCAUCAAUGAAAAUGUUGAUAAAGUAUUGGAUCUCUGUCAGAAGGCCAUGAGAUAAAUAGAUAAAUUUCCGGCCAAUUCUUACACCACGAGGCAUAGCAUGGAUCGAUGUCCUGCUGCAGUUGAUUCGAUAAGAUGGAUGGAUGCAAAAACUCUGUAAAAGGUGAAAUCAGUUUCUGCUAAAUCUGGUGCCCUUUUCUUGUUUAUAUUGUGUGUAUGUGCAUCACUGAAUUGAAUUUGUGUAUUUACUGAUCAUGAAAAUUUUUUCACACAAACACAGCUGAA
RNA transcript from Andrographis paniculata, 1849 nucleotides. RefSeq lists it as uncharacterized. The record is from RefSeq and is a predicted model, not a curated record. Lineage: Eukaryota; Viridiplantae; Streptophyta; Magnoliopsida; Lamiales; Acanthaceae. The transcript has 11 exons.